This 548-nucleotide ribosomal RNA is filed under the name Boana geographica A. Its description in RNAcentral is "partial 16S ribosomal RNA". It matches the Rfam family "Bacterial large subunit ribosomal RNA", at positions 1845 to 2603 of the family's 2925-position model. Lineage: Eukaryota; Metazoa; Chordata; Amphibia; Anura; Hylidae. The record is from RNAcentral.
AUAAGAGGUCCAGCCUGCCCAGUGAAAUUAUUCAACGGCCGCGGUAUCCUAACCGUGCGAAGGUAGCGUAAUCACUUGUUCUUUAAAUGAGGACUAGUAUGAAUGGCAUCACGAGGGUUUUACUGUCUCCUUUUUUAAAUCAGUGAAACUAAUCUCCCCGUGAAGAAGCGGGGAUUUUGUUAUAAGACGAGAAGACCCUAUGGAGCUUAAAACAAACAACAUUUGCUGCACAUAAUACUUUUAUCUUCAAGAAGUAUAGCAUUAUGAUAUUUAGUUUUUGAUUGGGGUGAUCACGGAGCAAAAUAAAACCUCCACGCCGAAAGGGUUUAUACCCUGAGCAAAAAGCUACAGCUUUAAGCACUAAAAAAUUAACGUAUUUGACCCAAUAUUUUGAUCAACGAACCAAGUUACCCUAGGGAUAACAGCGCAAUCCACUUCAAGAGCUCUUAUCGACAAGUGGGUUUACGACCUCGAUGUUGGAUCAGGGUGUCCUAGUGGUGCAGCCGCUACUAAUGGUUCGUUUGUUCAACGAUUAAAACCCUACGUGA